CCAAGUCGCGCCCUUUAAAAGCCUGCGUUUCGACAGCGCUGCCAGUCAUUCCUCCUUCAGUAUUCGGAGAAGCUAUACGUCCGCUUGUAUCUGUAUUUUGUGUGUGUUUGUGACUCAACAGCAUGGCCCCGAUUCAGAUGUACGCUCCAUCCCCUGUGCAGGAACAAUCCACCUCAGCGAGUGACCGUAUUGGCACAUUUAGAAGCUUUGAGGAACGUAAUUCGCAAGAAAACCAUAGGCCUACUUUUAGCGAGGACAACCAGUGCUACAAGGUACAGAUUCCCUGCAGUCAGCUGCUUUUACGAGCACGCCAUGUAAAAUACGACCAAACUACUUCAUUUACACUACAACCUCGGGUGUCUCCUUCUCCUGCCCAGAUCGUGGUGGACGUGGAGGCCUUCAUGGAGAGCGGCGUGAGGUUCGACGUGGUGAACGAGAACGAACUGAUCAUCGAGAGCUGCGCGGAGAACGGCGAAGGGAACUCCGUCUCGAGGAAGGGCCUCUACCGCCGGUUCCGCUUCCCGAGCCUCGUCAGUGUUGAUACUGUGCGAUCAGUGUUGUCCUGCGACGGCAUCCUUACCAUCACCGUAGCUAAGAAGGUAACAUCUGAUUCAAGUAUUGGAGACAUUUCGUAGCUUUAAAGAAACCGGAUUGAACACAAAAUUAGAAAGCUCGUCUCAUGUGCGCGGCUGAACAUUCAAGACGCCGGCGAAUGAACACGCCGGAGAUGGAAAAGUCUUCUUGAGAAAAAAAGAUCUUGGGGAAAUCCUCUCGAGAAAAGGCUUUUGUAAUUAUCUUCGCCAGGAGUUGCUGUCGAUGUUAUUCUCAGGAACGUCCUUGGCUUAUAUCAAAACACCAGACUGAAAAAUACCGUAUUUCCCGCCGGAGGUGCGACGACGCCUUGAGUGGAUGCGCGAAAAAGUGCGCCUCCGCUCAGUGCUGGCGAGAUUCAUGUCAUGUGCGAUUCAGAGGAAAUAAAUACAUGUGGAACAUCAGUGCUCUCCUGGUCUUAGAAAACACGUUCGACUAGAUUCGUAUUGGAUUGGUGGAAUUUGGGAGAUGAAGAAGCAAAUCGAUCACUGCAAGACAGAUUCCAGCACAAGUGCCUAUAAGCACUGUGAUGGCACUUGUAAAAUUAUUGUUAUUACACUGCCUGCAAGGCUUCAUUUACAUCCAUUGAUGGCAUUCCUUAAUAAAUGCAAUAUGCCCC
Molecule: unclassified non-coding RNA, 1210 nt
Filed under: Penaeus chinensis
Lineage: Eukaryota; Metazoa; Arthropoda; Malacostraca; Decapoda; Penaeidae
Description: protein lethal(2)essential for life-like, transcript variant X3
Source: RNAcentral